UCCAAAGACUCCAAUGCACACGCUUUUAUCGAAGUCCGAUAGCUGAGAUGACCCAAUGCUGUACAUCUAUUGCACAACAUGAAGCACAGAUGGUGACACUUUGUUUCCUAGCAAAGCCAAGCACAUUUCUCUGCUUUCAGAAACUGACCCCAUCCCAGAAUAGACCGACUGAACCACAGAAGAUGCACAUUGCUCUAUCGGGCACAAGUAUGAGCGUAGCACACCAUCUUCAGAGUUUAUCAAGUCGACAAAAAGUGGUUGGGAUGUUUCCUUGAACGUCCCGAAUUUCAAUUCUUUAGGAAGUGCACAACUGAUCCAAACUUCUGAAGUGGUAUGAAGGGUUGAAGAACUAGCUGCAACAGCUGUUAGUUAGUAAGCUGUUGCUAAUCCUACUUAUAAGUUAGGUCGUUACAUUUUGGAGAUGUGUUCAUUACUACAUCAAGUUGCACCACAAAAAGUAGUUGCAUACAAGGACAUUUGUUGUCACUAAAUAUUUCCACCUAAUGGCCUAGUAGCUGCAAAAUAAUGUAAGAUAUGUCAGCUAGCUGAAAAGGCUAAUGUUAGCUUCAUAGCUGACAUAUUUGACCAUAUUUCAAAAUAAUGUUUAUUAAGCUAUUUAUAAGAUGAGGAAAAUUAUCUCUUACACUUUCAAAUAAUUUCCAAGUUACAAAAUGUUAUGCCAAUAGCAUUAAAUGUCAAACAUAUUGUAAAUUAGAUCAGCAUAAUCACCGAUUGGUGCUUGUUUUAAUGUAGCAACUACUUAGCCUUCUGAAACUGUUGUUUUGGGCAUUUUUGAUAAAGUUAUGUGAUAUUCUUCAGAUCGUAUCACAACCAUUUCAACCCAAAUGACUAAAGCCUUUUCAAGCUUAGAUGAUUUUUUUUUAAAUGUUAAAUGGUGCAACUUAGUUCGGCAAAUCACCAGUUUGAAACUAGCCAUUAGCGACUUAGCUAGAUAUAUGAAUAGUUGGAACAACCCAUGUGCAGGAGACAAAAAGUCUGAAUCAAAAAAAUAGUGUUUUAGGCAAUAAGGUCCUGAAAUGAAAGCCAGAAGAGAUUUAAGGAAUUUUUGACCAGCACCCAUGGACUAUCCCUGUCAUUUAAGCGAUCUCGUAAAGAAUCUGUCACCUGUGAAUUGCAUUACAAUUUAAAUAGAAUUGGAGAUAAUAAUUAAACUUUAGGAUCUAGAGCAAUUACUCCACCCAUUCCCCUCCACAAAACAAAGUGUAUGCAACAAAGGUCUCCAGCCAAUAUGUUUAUAGGUAUGUAACAACUGGAGGUCGGGACUGAACUUUUCUUGCAAGACAGACAUAAAAAUGCCAGUGCUUCUUGUUUUUAUGCAUUUGUUAUUAGCUUUUUAAAAUCUUUAAAAAGAAAAAAAAAAGAUUUUAAUCAAAGGUGCCAACUUGCUGUUAACUUUCUGUUCAGAGUCAGAUACAAUGUUUGAUUAAAGCUUUAAUGUAAAAGGUGCUCCUCCUCUCUGUCCCAGCCUGCGUUGUUGUAACUGUCUUUUUGAGCAGCAGACGACUGCAGGGUGAACAAGCCUUCUAUCUACUGGACAGUUUUGCUUGCUUAUGUUGUGUGAAGGUCCACCCUCAGGAUCCAGGACCUAUAAGUGCCACAGCCACCGAUGCAUUCUCCCGUUGAUGCUUCUUUCUUCUCAAUAAAUGUGUUUACUGUCUUAAAAAGUCAGCUUGGGGAUUUAACUUGGAGUGGGCCAGAUGUGAUGUGGGAUGCAUUUGUGGAAUAAACCUUUGCUAUGCUUAUGUUCAUAACAGGUUAGAUAAGAAGGUCAGGAGAAAUAGAUAUUAAAAAACACACACAGCAUUAAUGCAU
Astatotilapia calliptera (eastern happy) is the source of this 1833-nucleotide long non-coding RNA. NCBI's taxonomy places the organism in Eukaryota, Metazoa, Chordata, Actinopteri, Cichliformes, Cichlidae. The record is from Ensembl.